AUGAGUGUUGCCAGUAUAUUUUGUAAUCCUUUGAGGAAAGUACCUGGUCUCCUCAUUCAGCUGCAAACUUACCUAAGUGCCUUCCAUACUCUAUACAGUAAGCGGGCGACACCAACUUGUUGAGUUACUGUUUAAAGACCUGGAUUAUGAUGCUGUUGGGGGCCACACUGGGGGUGCUGAGAGAGGUGCCCGGACACAGGGUGCAGUGAGGGCCAGUCCCCUCAGCCUACCCUACUCUCUAGAUUCCUCCUCUCUGGAGCAUCAGGAGGUCCUCUGCCCUCAAGCCAUUUCAAGACCAGAAGAGCCUUGUCACUCACUUCAUCAGGACGGUGAAAUGUGACCACAGAGACCCUGGCAUCACUGAGAGAGGCUCGGAGGGUCGGCCAUUCUGUCUCCUGGCCCUAGGAACAAUUCUCCUUAUGAUACAGAGACUAGCGGCGGGACAGAUAUUUCCAACUCAAUGAAAAACAAGACUCCUGUAGAAAUGCAGAUUGAAUUUGGAUCCUCUUCUCCCCAAGCAGAACACCAGGGAGUGGAGAACACUUGCAUGUCGUGUCAGAACAGUACCCAGCAGUUCAAAAAAACAUUUGUUCUCCAGGUCCUGAGGAGAGACCUGCUGGUUCUUGAGGACCUCAAAGGCCACAGGGAAAUGUCACCAUGGAGGCUCAUGGAAACUCCCCAGGCCGGACAGAACAGACACAUGGUUGAGAGAAUAAAGACAGGCAGACCCG
Molecule: long non-coding RNA, 731 nt
Organism: Zalophus californianus (California sea lion)
Lineage: Eukaryota; Metazoa; Chordata; Mammalia; Carnivora; Otariidae
Exons: 3
Source: RefSeq, a predicted model, not a curated record